Crotalus tigris (Tiger rattlesnake) is the source of this 2669-nucleotide long non-coding RNA. RefSeq lists it as uncharacterized. Lineage: Eukaryota; Metazoa; Chordata; Lepidosauria; Squamata; Viperidae. The transcript has 3 exons. The record is from RefSeq and is a predicted model, not a curated record.
CACCCAGAUGAGCAGAAAUUAAUACCAAGAUUAACAUUAGACCAGCAAUCAAGAAGCAAAUAAUAUCCCAAUCAAGGAAUUACUAAGACCAUUCCCAUCAACAGGGCAAGCCACUAGUAUAUAAAAUGAGAGCAAACCCUACUCCCUGCUAACAUUGAUGAUGUUAUAAUGAAAUAUCUGCAAGACAAUAACAAAGCUCAGAGAGCACCAAGGACCCCCAAUUCAACCCUCAGCUACAAAUAUUCUCUUCUAAAGCUUGAAAAGAUAACCAAUUCCUGAAUGUGAAUUCCUGGGUUGUAGAUAGAAUCAGGAGAGAAAAAGAGAUGGCAAAUCACAAUAAGAAUUUUCCCUCCCUUCAUUUCCCUUAACCGUAUAGGAAUUCAAACCCUGCACUCAUGUGCUUCAGUUAAACAGUGUGGGGCUUCAGAUGGCCUUGAAAGAUAUGAACAAGGGCAUAACUGUGCAACAGGUGAGUAAUAAUGUUCCCUUAGAUCAGUGCUUCUCAACGUUUGUGUGACAGCGACCCCCGUCACACAAACGUGCCGCGCAUGCGUGGGGCUGCCCUCAUGAGCGGCGCCGCCCCCAUGAGCGGCGCGGCACCGCACGUAUGCGCGGCGGCGCCCCCAUGCGCAGCGUGCAUGCAUGGGGCCGCCCCAUGCGCGGCGCAUGUGCGCGGGGCCGCCCCCGUGCGCGGCGCGCGUGUGCGGCACCACCCCCCCGAGGGGGAAAAUGGCGGAUCGCCUUGUUUGGCGACCCCCGAGAAAUGGUCGAUCGACCCCAAAUGGGGUCGCGACCCAUAGGUUGAGAACCGCUGCCUUAGAUAACCACAGCAAUGUCAAGUCCAUCCUAGUAAUUGAAUAAAAUCAUAUAGCUGCCUCAUUGCUAUGAACUAAAGAGAAAUAUUAGUAUUUAAACAUUUUACUUUGUCAUUAAUAAUCAUAAAAAUGAAAGAAUUUCUGAUGGGUAUUCAAAUCACCCCAGCCACGUUUGAAUGUUUAAGAAUCAUUAUGUUCAUGUUUGCUUUAGGAUAGAAAAAACCACCCAACCAAAUGACAAUGGAAGAGGAGACUGUUACUGUAAUGCUUCUAAUCAGUUCUCAGAGACAUGAUACAGUAUAUGCCUGCAGAACUCCAAGCAGCAGAAGAAAAGUUUCUCUUUUUGAAAAAAUAUUGUCUUUUGCAACAUCAAAGCCCAAACCGAUGAAAGCAAACAAAUCAAAUCUAGAACUGAAGCCAUGUCAAUCAGAAGAUAGUUUAACUACUGCCUAACGGACAAGCCAGCGUGAAAUGAAAGAAGACCUUGAUUUGCUAAGAAGCAGCUGCAUCUCAACACUGGGUGAAAGGCACCAGUGAGUGGUGUGCAGGAUUAACCUGGCGAGCACUGGAAAACAGAAGCCUGUUUGUUUUCCUUUUGUAUUUGCAUGCCAAAUGGAACAAAUCAGAGAGAGAAAGAAUAACAUAGUUGGCCAGGAAGUAAAAGAAAGAGAUGGGAGUCAGUGAAGACAGCGAAUGAAGACAGCUCCUUUUAAAAUUGAGUUGGAUCCUUUCAGGAGCUUUUUCUCAUCUUGUCACUUCAUGAAGGAUUCCCACACCCAUUGUGAACAAUUAUAAUCCUUCUGGAAUUACUAUAAAAUUGUAGUCUAAUGAAUCUGGAGAUUGCUAGAUUGAAAGAUGUUACAAGAAAGCUGAGUCACACAUUAAUCCAGGCAGAAGAAAGAGGAGAAAAGUAAUGAACAAUGAAGACUGGAAAAAAAAGGUUGAAAAGCAAAACAGGAACAAUUUUUUUUGUCUGCAGUACCUACUUUCAUUUGUAAUAAAAAACAAAGGGCUUCUCAAUCAAUAAUGCUCUAUACACAUUCCUUUUUGUGCUGAAACCUGGUCUUUGAAUAAAUUGCUAAGGGCUGUACUUCAAAAAUGGGUGGAACCAAGAUAAGGAAAUAGGCAGGGCUUGGAUAAAUAUUAAAUAUUGUUAAAUUAAAUACAGCAAAUAUGAUUAUUCCUCAGUUAUGCAAUCAUUCUCUCUUGGGUUAUCUAAAUUAGGCAACAGAUGACUGAAACUCAUAAUCCUAACCCUUCAAAAUAAGGAUAUCAACAUAGUUAAUCAGAUUGUAUCAAUCUGUCUUUUAAAAAAUCGGAAUUUCAUCAAAGACAAAUCUCAAUAAUAAUUUUCAGAUACUUUCUUCAUUUUGAAUGAUUUAUUGUGUACAGAAUUUUCCAUAUAUGUCUCAGCAGCUGAUCUUUGUUGACUGCAUAACCAUGAUUUUAUCUCUGGUUGGGCACUGAAGUGAUUGAUAUGUUUUUCCAAAUGUUGAUGAAUAUUUUGCAUAUCAGGUGCAAGUUUCUAUCUUUUGUUGAAAUGUCAUUUAGCCCACAUUCUGCUUCAGCACUGUUAAUUACAACAGCACAUAUAGCACAUAUUAUCAUAUUGGCUCUAACUAUAGAUUCUGAAUCUAUAGUUCUUUUAGAAUCUAUGGUUCUUUUUAUAUUAUGGAGUCAUGAAUAUUGUUGGUAGAAAUGUCAAAAUUCAUCUUGUGAGAAGAUUUUAAGUAGGUUUUCUCUGUUAUACCAAAGGCAAAUUAUGUUUUUGGGCCAAGUAACUAUUUCUAGUAUAUUAAAGUAAGUUAUUCACAAUGUAGCAAGGAACAUUGUUUUUAAAAACACUGUUGAUAC